RNAcentral lists this ribosomal RNA (258 nucleotides) under uncultured bacterium. RNAcentral describes it as "partial 16S ribosomal RNA". It matches the Rfam family "Bacterial small subunit ribosomal RNA", at positions 524 to 776 of the family's 1533-position model. The record is from RNAcentral.
UACGUAGGGUGCAAGCGUUGUCCGGAAUUAUUGGGCGUAAAGAGCUCGUAGGCGGUCUGUCGCGUCUGCUGUGAAAACUCGGGGCUUAACCCCGGGCCUGCAGUGGGUACGGGCAGACUAGAGUGCGGUAGGGGAGACUGGAAUUCCUGGUGUAGCGGUGAAAUGCGCAGAUAUCAGGAGGGAACACCGGUGGGCGAAGGCGGGGUCUCUGGGCCGUAACUGACGCUGGAGGAGCGAAAAGCGUGGGGAGCGAACAGG